UUCGUGACUAUGCCCGUGUUUUAUGUGACUAUUUGUGAUCAAACUUGCUUUCGUUGUAACUGUAUUUGACCAAUUCACCGAUUUAUGUUAUAUGUGAUUAACCAUGACCAAAUUUAUCCUUAAUGUGACAAACUAUGAUUAAAUUUGUAUUCAGUGUGAUUGUCUAUGACCAGGAUAGUCUUAACUUUGACUAAGUCACAACCGGUUACAAUCAACAAAAAAUUAGUCACAAACAGUCAUAAUAAAUACAUAUUUGGUCACAUGAGAUCAUCACAAACAACUCUGCACGAACCUUAGACCAAUAUCACAAUCCAACACUAUUUCUAAUACAUUUAACUUAAAUCGACGAUCAAAAAUACUAGAUUCACCUCCAAUGCACAAUCAAUCACCACCGCGUUCUCAAAUGUAGAUCAACACAACAGUAGAUUUAUAUCACCCACAAAUCUAAACACCACAAUCACAACCACCAUUGGAGGCGACAUAUCAUAAUCAUGCUCCACUGCAACAGCUCCAAUUGGAAUCGAAGCUUCAUAUUCUAUUCCCAAUGGGUAGUUAUUUUAGCACCAAUCAAUGAAGCCCGCCAGAAGUCAACUUUGAAGUUUAGGAGCCGAUCAUUUUUCAACAAAGUAAAGCAGGAUAGAGUUGUGAAUAAAUCUUUGAUGAGAAGAUCUGAUAGUUUACAGUCUUCGUCGGUACUUCUGCAAGUAGAGACGAGCUAUCGUUGCAAGCAACUUCAUCGCGCCCGAUAUGUUGCUUCCUUUGUCACGUUGUAAGCAAUGAUCGACAAUACUUCGUCGUACCGGAAAGGAAGAUGGUUGGGUGAGUGGGUGGUGGAAAGGGUGAGAGAGAGAGAGAGAGAGAGAGAGAGAGAGAGAGAGAGAGAGGGUGGGGGGGAGAUGUGGAAAAAUAUUUAGGGUUUAGAUUUGGGAAUGAAAUGAGGGUGGAGUGGGUGGUGGGUAUGUCGAUUAGGUUUAAUUAAAUUUUUAUUAAUAAUGAUUAUUAAAAUUUAAUUACUACAUGAUUUGUGAAAUGAAAAUUAAUUUCCCUUAUUUUCAAAAAUUAGUCUUUAAAUGUAGAUUUCAGUGUAAUUUUUCUUUUAAAUUUUUUAGAGGCCCUUUAUAUCCUGAGGCCCAAAGCAAUACCUAGUUUGCCUUGGGCCAAGGCCAGGGCCGAGUCGGGCCUGUUAUGAGUAUUCGAUCAGGACUUCAGUCAAGCAUUUUCAAUCAGUGUAGCAUCCUUGUAUAUAUAAAAGUGUUCCAAUAAUUAAAAGUAACAGCCUUAAUUUUCACAUAAUAAAAUAGAACGUAGCAUGAAUGAUGAUAUAAAUAUACACAAAAUUCACUCACCACCUUAAUUUUUUGUCGAUUCUCUCACAAAUAUAGGUAUAAGGUAUGGAGACAACUUGUUUGUUUCCCUAAAAUAGCAAGAAUUGUAAAGUAUUGAGAAAACUCAAAUGUUGUUCAAUAUCUGGUAACAAUGAUGUCGAUCCUAGAUAACCCGUCUGUGAAGAAGAGGUAAGAGAUUGGGGUGAAAUGUCAUUUCAGCUUUUACCCACACAGCAGAAAAAGGUCUAGGUGUCAAGGACCGCAGCUUUACUUAGCCCCUUGACACUAUCGCAGUCGCAGUUUGCCCAACUUUGGCCGCACAUUGUAAAUAUUACUUCAAGUUUGAGUUGUAAUUUUCGUUUCAUUGUAAUAGUUAUUUUAAUUGUAAAAUAGCUCUAAUAUUGGUAAAAGAUUAGUAUGAUUCCUCGUCUUUUAAACGUCUACUCCCGUCACUUGGGUUUUUGUUCAGAAUGCUAUUAUAGGGGGUAUUAGUCAUUCAAAAAUCUUUCAAGCUCACUGGUGUCCGCCCCCUGCACCAGCAUUUGUAAUUUUCUGCUUUCAUCAAUUGUAAUGUUCAGUUUUCAGCAAUCAAU
RNAcentral lists this long non-coding RNA (1918 nucleotides) under Olea europaea (common olive). Its description in RNAcentral is "long non-coding RNA (OEUR_LNC004637)". Lineage: Eukaryota; Viridiplantae; Streptophyta; Magnoliopsida; Lamiales; Oleaceae. The record is from RNAcentral.